AGCGAAGCCGCUCUGGGGAAGCCAGUUCACCGACUCCCCGGCCCCGAGCUUUCAGAUUGAAAGGAGGAAUUUCCCAAAUCCUCCGGAAGCCAGAACCCACGCUGUACCUCAUAGCGGAUGUCCCCAGCCACCGAAGAAGCUGGACUCUGCAAAUCUGAUUGCGUACAGGCUCCUCAGACAGAGCGGGACAAAGAAGACACUGUCUUUGGGAAAAAGUUCUUUACUUGUUAACAGCUCAUUCUUUUCUUGUCAGCCAUUAAUUGUAUCAUCUGAUGAUUUGUUGUAAGUAUUCUCUUUAAUGUUGUCAGCUUCUUGAAUAAUGAGACUUCAUUAUUAUAAUUAGACUAUUUUCAGGGGUGUCUGCGUGGCUCAGUCAGUUAAGCGUCUGCCUUCUGCUCAGGUCAUGAUCCCAGGGUCCUGGGAUCAAGCCCUACAUUGGGAUCCCUUCUCAGUGGGAGCAUGCUUUUCCCUCUCCCUCUGCCUGCCACAACCCCCUGCUUGUGCUCAUAAAUAAAUAAAUAAAUAAAUAAAUAAAUUAAAUAAAUAAAUUCUUUUUUAAAAAGUAUCUUCAAAUCACAAUUCUACCUAUUGUGUGAUUUUUCUUUCUGUCUUGGUUUCAUAGUAAUUUUUACCAUUGUUGGCCCAUGAUUUUGAGGGUUCCUCUCACAUUUUCUGCUUCUAGUUGGACAUGUCUUAUCUGCUUGGGUAAUGUGAUAUGAAGUAAUAAUGUCCAAAAAGAGUAUAUGACAAAAGUAAAUUUAAA
This 763-nucleotide long non-coding RNA is filed under the name Canis lupus familiaris (dog). Its description in RNAcentral is "lncRNA (ENSCAFG00030024092.1)". Lineage: Eukaryota; Metazoa; Chordata; Mammalia; Carnivora; Canidae. The record is from RNAcentral.